RNAcentral lists this ribosomal RNA (619 nucleotides) under Leuconostoc lactis. RNAcentral's name for it is "bacterial SSU rRNA". It matches the Rfam family "Bacterial small subunit ribosomal RNA", at positions 76 to 681 of the family's 1533-position model. Lineage: Bacteria; Bacillati; Bacillota; Bacilli; Lactobacillales; Lactobacillaceae. The record is from RNAcentral.
GUGCUUGCACCUUUCAAGCGAGUGGCGAACGGGUGAGUAACACGUGGAUAACCUGCCUCAAGGCUGGGGAUAACAUUUGGAAACAGAUGCUAAUACCGAAUAAAACUUAGUAUCGCAUGAUACAAAGUUGAAAGGCGCUACGGCGUCACCUAGAGAUGGGUCCGCGGUGCAUUAGUUAGUUGGUGGGGUAAAGGCCUACCAAGACAAUGAUGCAUAGCCGAGUUGAGAGACUGAUCGGCCACAUUGGGACUGAGACACGGCCCAAACUCCUACGGGAGGCUGCAGUAGGGAAUCUUCCACAAUGGGCGAAAGCCUGAUGGAGCAACGCCGCGUGUGUGAUGAAGGCUUUAGGGUCGUAAAGCACUGUUGUAUGGGAAGAAAUGCUAGAAUAGGGAAUGAUUCUAGUUCGACGGUACCAUACCAGAAAGGGACGGCUAAAUACGUGCCAGCAGCCGCGGUAAUACGUAUGUCCCGAGCGUUAUCCGGAUUUAUUGGGCGUAAAGCGAGCGCAGACGGUUGAUUAAGUCUGAUGUGAAAGCCCGGAGCUCAACUCCGGAAUGGCAUUGGAAACUGGUUAACUUGAGUGUUGUAGAGGUAAGUGGAACUCCAUGGGUAAGCG